Molecule: ribosomal RNA, 253 nt
Filed under: uncultured bacterium
Lineage: Bacteria
Description: partial 16S ribosomal RNA
Rfam family: Bacterial small subunit ribosomal RNA
Source: RNAcentral
UACAGAGGUCUCAAGCGUUGUUCGGAUUCAUUGGGCGUAAAGGGUGCGUAGGUGGCGGGGUUAGUCAGGUGUGAAAUCUCGGGGCUCAACCCCGAAACUGCACUUGAUACUGCCUUGCUAGAGUACUGGAGAGGAGAUUGGAAUUUACGGUGUAGCAGUGAAAUGCGUAGAUAUCGUAAGGAAGACCAGUGGCGAAGGCAAAUCUCUGGACAGUUACUGACACUGAGGCACGAAGGCCAGGGGAGCAAACGGG